UACGUAGGAUGCAAGCGUUGUCCGGAUUUAUUGGGCGUAAAGCGCGCGCAGGCGGCAUGGUAAGUAAGGUGUGAAAUCUCUCUGCUCAACGGAGAGGGUGCACUUUAGACUGCCAAGCUAGAGAGCGGUAGAGGGGGGUGGAAUUGCUGGUGUAGCGGUGAAAUGCGUAGAGAUCAGCAGGAACACCCGUGGCGAAGGCGGCCCCCUGGGCCGUUUCUGACGCUGAGGCGCGAAGGCUAGGGGAGCGAACGGG
RNAcentral lists this ribosomal RNA (253 nucleotides) under uncultured bacterium. RNAcentral's name for it is "partial 16S ribosomal RNA". It matches the Rfam family "Bacterial small subunit ribosomal RNA", at positions 524 to 776 of the family's 1533-position model. The record is from RNAcentral.